This 460-nucleotide ribosomal RNA is filed under the name uncultured bacterium. Its description in RNAcentral is "partial 16S ribosomal RNA". It matches the Rfam family "Bacterial small subunit ribosomal RNA", at positions 338 to 795 of the family's 1533-position model. The record is from RNAcentral.
CCUACGUGAGGCAGCAGUGAGGAAUCUUGGUCAAUGGACGCAAGUCUGAACCAGCCAUGCCGCGUGCAGGAAGACGGCUCUAUGAGUUGUAAACUGCUUUUGUACGAGGGUAAACGCAGAUACGCGUAUCUGUCUGACAGUAUCGUACGAAUAAGGAUCGGCUAACUCCGUGCCAGCAGCCGCGGUAAUACGGAGGAUUCAAGCGUUAUCCGGAUUUAUUGGGUUUAAAGGGUGCGUAGGCGGUCGGAUAAGUUAGAGGUGAAAUCCCGAGGCUCAACUUCGGAAUUGCCUCUGAUACUGUUCGGCUAUAGAGUAGUUGCGGUAGGCGGAAUGUAUGGUGUAGCGGUGAAAUGCUUAGAGAUCAUACAGAACACCGAUUGCGAAGGCAGCUUACCAAGCUACUUCUGACGUUGAGGCACGAAAGCGUGGGGAGCAAACAGGAUUAGAUACCCGGGUAGUC